CAGCCUGGAGCUUUUUACCCUGAGUAUGAAAUCGGAGGUGAGCCCAUUGAUGAUAUUGAUGCAUUUAGAACUUGCAAACAAUCAGUGAGGGUUUUUCUUGAAUAGCAUUAAUCAUCUUUGACUCUUUGAUCAUUUGGAAGUAUUUGGGCUUUAAAGAGAAUAUUAUUGCACUUUUUUCUUAUAAAACUUAGAAACUCUUCCACACUCAGAUUUAUUGCUUACUAGACAAAAUCUUUUCUUAAGAGAAACUUGUCUCAACUAUGUUAAUUACGAAAAGGCCAACUGUGUUGACCUGACUUCGGUUUUUGCAUGUGGGUGAACAGCUUAUUUAUAGAGAAUACCGUUUGCAGUUGUUACUGGUGCUGUUUUCAGCUGUUCCUCUCCAUUCCAUUUUUGUUGUUUUAAUUGGACUUACUGGCCAAACUUUAUUGACCCUUUUAAAGGGGAAAAAAUCAGAAUGCAUCAUGCUUUGAAUACAGCCACUCAGUAAGAAUUAAGAACCUUUGAAAACUUGAAUGAUGCAUAAAUGAUUGUAAAAUAAUUUACUUAUUGGUAAAGUUUUUUUGCCAAGAUUACUAGAAAUUAUGGCCAUUUUUUAUCUUGUGCUAGAAAUAUUUGAAAUGCUUUGUCUACUCUGAGCUUGGGAGCAGUUGGAUUAUUUGGGAUAGAAAAGAACCUAUGUUUGGGAUAGAGAGAAUCUAUGGGAUAAAUAAGGCUCCAUUUCACAUCUUGUUUAGAAUCUCGUGGGCUCUGCCCAUGUUAAACUGAAGACUUUUUUAAGAAUAUUGACUGCUUGAAUUUCUGAAGGGUUGUUGACAGAAAGGUUUGUGAAUUACGGGAACUUACAACUAAUUCAUUGACAUAAUUUAAUUUUAGGGAUUUGAUUGUAUUCAGGCUAAAUCUGGAGUUAAAGUUUGUUUUCACACUUAGAAGAUAGUUCUCUGGAUGUCACUUAACUGAUACUCCUUUGCUCCAAAGAUGUAAAGCACCAAGGACUACAUAGGAAUUGCUCAGUAGCUAUUUGUCAAAUGAAUGAAACUGAAUUGUCUCAGUGAAUUUUUCCUAUUUAAAACAUACUCAUAAAAGUAUAUAAAUUUAGUCUAAUUCUGCAUUUCUUUCCAAAGAAGAAACCAGUCACGUACCUCUCCUUCUCCCAUCACUAGUUGGAGGAAGCACCUUAGCCUCAGAUCCUCCAGCUAGAAUGAGAGAGCAGGCCCCUGACCCCCAGUCUCUUCUCAUGGUAAUUGCUAGCUGGGUUUUCUUGCCGUUUUCCAUCUCACACUUACCUCAGUCCCUUGUCCUUUUUGAAUUUUCUAGUGUUUUCUGAUAAUCAUGGUUCUUCCUACUACCUUCAAAAAAUUUAUCUCUAGAUUACUCGUCUGUAUUUUUUUAAGAUAGACUUAAAAUCACUAGAUCACAUGUAUGUAUUUAUGUGUAUUUUAACCUAAGGGAUUUUAGCUCUCAAAAAUUUAUUUGCAAUAAUGCCAAACAGAUUCACUGGAUCUUAAGAGGCUUAAUUUAGACCAGGACAGUUGUCCAGCAAAUACUUGUGAAUCAUUCAGUAAUUAAACUCUGUGGGAGUUGUUACUCAGAAAACUGAUAGGGCUUACUCAAGCCAAGAAAAUCUAUCAGGACUUUAGCAGAAAUAGAGCCAGUGACUUUUGACCCCUGUCAUCGAGUAUUCAAACCACAAAGCCCUUCCAGUUCCCUAAUUACUCGAGUUGUUGGACUUCAGGCUGAAUUGGCCCUGGCAUUUCACAAGCACCAACCUCUAGAGGUUUGAAGUCUUUACUGUUAACCAGACCUCAAAACUGGUGUUCCCACCCCCUUUCACCGAAGGAUAAUCAAAAUCUGUAGGUGUUAGAGUUUUGUGUACCUGACUUUAUUUCACUGAAACUAACCUUGAAAAACAUCUAUGCACAAAAUCAGGGCAGCAAAGAAGUGAAAAUGUAGACGGCAGCUGGGGGAUAGAGGAAGAUUUGUGUGUGUGUUAAACUUCCCCAACUGGAAAGUAAAAGAAAAGUCCCUGUAGAUUGAGGUUAUACGUUACAAACUCCUGCAAGCAGGGACUGGCAUCUGUUUUGUUCACUGAGAUGUCCCUGUGUGCCUACAACAGUAUCCAGAACCUUAGAACCUUAGCUAAUAAGGUAAGAAGUCAACAAACAUUUGCUGAAUGAAUAAUAAAUGAAUGAGUGAACCUGUCUUAGGUGGUAGAGAAUCGGGCAAAUUAAUACAUGUAAAGCACUUAAAAUAGUUCCAAGCAUGGAACUUUUCGUUUUUAUUAUUUUAUAAUUCACUAGAUACAGAGCCCCCAGUAUUUUGGAUGACUUAAUUUGCAUUUUAUUUUCCUGUCUUCAGUCCUAAAGAUCUGUUAUGAGAAGCUAACACUCUGAAUGGUUAAGAAAGUGAGAGACUAAAUUUAUUAAUUAUUUCAGAAAAUUAUUCUUACUUUGACAUUUAAUAAAAUAUUUUGCUAAUCACAAGCUGUCACCAGAAUGUUCUGUUUGUGGAUAAAUAAUGUUACUUGCAGUCUUAGGACAUGGAUUUUCUAAAUUUGUUGUGAGUUAUAUUGACUCCACUUCUCUCGCCCUCGCCAUCUAUGUCCACAAAUUAUGUUAAUACCAAGAGCAGAAAUGUCUGAAAUAACCAGCUGGGUUCAUGGGUGCAGUUUGAAGCCACGGGACUUAGCAAAGUUAACUGGCCUCUACAUGAAUUGUGCCUGUAACCUUGGCUUCUUACACCACAGUUUGUGACCGUUUAACUGGUCCAGACUCGUCCACAUCAGAUUUAAUUUCUUGUAUUCUUUUUUGUAAUAAAUCAAGCUGGAUGCUGAUUCCAAGAUGUAUUAAAAGUCUUCAGAAAGUUUACCACAGUUGCAAAAGAGCUUUAAUCUUUGGAAUGUCUCUGACUCUUGCGUCAAAAAACUCACCAGACCAAGAGAGUGAUAAGAAACCAAACCGUACUCUUGGAGUAUUUUCUCUUCAGAAGUUAAGUCCUGCAAGUCUCUCUGCAUCUGUCUGGCAGUCCGUCCGCUUUUCCCAGGGCUGUUUUCCCCUGAGUGCUUUCCUUCUGCUUGCCCUGUUUCCUUCUGCAACUCAUGGUUAAGCCAUCGUGGGAUGUCAUCAAUGGGAAGAACUUCAUAAAUUAGCUUUAAACUUCACUUUGGCAGAGAAAUUCUUCCUUCAAAGUAGGCAUAUAAAGUAGAGUUGCCUCAGUGCCUGGCACACAGUAACCUAUUUCUUUUUUAAUAUAUGUGUAACGUUUUAGCUGCUCUGUUGGGAAGGGGUAACUGAUGCCUCGUGGGGGUAUCAUUAAGUACAACUGUGCCCCUGGGUUUCUGAGAAGCUAAUUAAAGGAUACUGGUCUUAUUCUAGUAAUGGGCUUGAUACCAAAGAGGCAAUGAUGUUAUAUUUGGGUUAAGCCUGCACCCCUUUUCUUUAUAGUAGGUGGACUGAUUGUAAGUCCCUGCCUUAAAGAGUUUGUGUACUUCCCUAAAUCUCUAGUUGGUGUCGUUAAGGACCCCUAUAAAUACUGGAACCACCUGCCUCCCUAAGAGCUGUGAGCACUUGGGUCCUGACUAUUCCUGGGUUCACCUAGGCAUAAUACUAUAGAAUAUUUUGGAAGGAUAAAAUGCUUAUUUAGCUUUCCAUGAGUAGCUGUAUUCCCAGACCCUAAGUAAGAGUAUAUACCACAUCACAGAGAUUGCUGCUUAAACUAAGGGUUAGUAUUGCCCAGUGUCAGAAAUCUGAGAUAUUUAUAACUUCAUAAUCCUGUUACCAUCUUUACUUUGUUACAAAGUCACUAAAAAUCUGCAUUCUUAGAUCAUUUUGUUUCUUCAUUUGCAAACCAUUCAGCAUUUCUUAACUCAUUUGUACAUUGACUCUUGUUAUUGGUAAAAUAUCAUGAUUAUAUGAAAUGGUAAAUCAGUGGCAAAUCCUUGAAACAUUAAUUAAAUGUAAUAUCUUCUUCUUGCCCAUCUGAAAUAAGAACAGUUCACUAGCAUCCACUUUUUUGUUGGAGGUGGUGGAGACCUUUCUUUCUUUUGUAUUUUUGUGGUAAGGUGUAUAAGUUCCCCCUUCUCAGUUAUUAUUUAUAAUGCUUUUCUACAUUAACUUUUUUCAUGGGCAACUCUAGACGCCUCUUAAAAACCAAGGCAAAGUUCUAACCACUGAUGCAGACUCUCAAGUAUAGAGUAUAUGAGGGGAUAUGUGUGUUUAUGUACAUGCAUCUGUAUGUGUGAGUGCAAAAUUAAGGCCAUCCCUAAAGGAGGAAGAGCCAGCUUUCCGGGUGAAGGCAAAGAGCUUUCCAGGGAUUAGUAACUGUAGAGUUUCUUGUGUAGGAACAAGUUGUCCUGUAGGAGGGACAAGGCACUGUCUAGAUGGUAAGGAGCAGGUGAUGAGGUCGGAGAGUUAGGAAGAGAUCAGUCACGUCAGAGGAGUCUUUCUCAGCCCCCUUCUUAGUAACAGGACAAGGAUUGAGAACCUGUGAUUGCUUUCGUAUAGAAUAUGGGUUUGCCUCUUUCUGAAGACCUUCUCUGGAGACCUGCCUUCUCCAGCUUCAGAUGAGCUUCCUCUUCGCUGACUCUUAUGAGCUUCUGAAUCAUACCCUGGCUGUUCUCUUUCAUGUACAGCCUGCUUUCCGCCAGCAUUAGGUGCAGAACACUUUGUUUCAUUUUACUGGGCUAAAAAAUGAUAAUAAUUUAACAAAUGAACGCAUGUACAUGGAAGCUAGCAGAUAUUAUCUAAUUCAGCUUUAUCUCAUUUGUCAUCCAAGGGUACUGUCAGAUACUUAUUUUCACUUCUUAGGUUUUUUCUUCUCAGUUUGUUUUUUGAGUUUUUGCCUCUCAUUAAAUUUCUUUUUACUGAUACAUAAUAGUUGUACAUAUUUGGGGGGUACAUGCUAUAUUUUGAUACCUGCAGUACAAUGUGUAAUGGUCACAUCAGGUUAAUUGGGAUAUCUGUUACCACAAACACCUCUGUGUUGAGAACAUUUCAAAAUUUUUUGCAGCUAUUUUUAAAAUACAAUAAAUUACUGUUAAUUACAGUUUCCCUACUGUUCUGUUGAAUAUGGGAACUUACUCCUUCUAUCUAACUAUAUUUUUGCACUGAAUUAAAACUGGUCUUGUGAAAUCCUGGUUUGUUUAAGGCACUGAGACUAAACCUACGGCUGUAUAUGCUAUUUCUGUAGCAUCUAUACGCUUCUGCCGUGAAUUGGGUGACGACUCACAUUUUCACUUUCCUUGUCAUAACAAGAGCUUAUUCCUGUUUCACAGCUGGAAUCAAGUGUUAGAAAUUUAGUAGAAAUGACUAUGAAAAUCUAUCUAAUACGAGAUUUAUUAACUCACUGUUGCAGUUGAAAACACUAGUAAGUCGGUCCUGUUGACAUCACUGAAAACUGUCAUUAGCUUUACAUACCUAGAAAGGAGUUAGCCCCAGAAGAUGUCGUUUCUACAAUUCCCACGAACAAAUAGUACCGCAGGGUGUGCCAGGCUGCAUUUGCCAUCCCUUUUCUUCUCCAUUUACAGACUCUGUAUGGAAUUUCAUUGACCAGUUAGGAAAAAAGCAUAAACUAAAUAAUAAAAAAGUGCCUUUAAGAAGUUCAAGAAGUUACUUAUUUCAUGUUUGGCAAAAUCUUAUAACAAAAAAAUUAAUAAUAUUUCUGUUAAUUGUUCAGAGAUUUUCUUCAGUCUCUGAACCAAAUUCAAGCAUCCUGUUAAUGGAUAGUGUUCAUUUUUCUUAUUUUAUUCUCCUUCAAAGAGCUUUAGAUUUUACCUUUCUUAAUGAAUCUUCUUUCCACCUGCAAUGGUUAUUUUUUCCUACAAAGUGCAUUAUAUGACCAUGGUUAAAUUAACCAGAUUUUUGAAAACAUUUUUUGGCCCAUAUGACAAAGCAAAAGAAUAUGCCUAGAAGGGGACAACAGUGGUUUGGCAUGUUGCCAAGGUAACCAGCCUUAAAGUUCCCUUUAAUGUGUGCUUAAAAUCUUCCUGUAUGUUAUAUAUAGAUUCAGACCCAACAUCUUUCUGCAGGAGGAAAAGAAAUUGGUUAGGAAUAACUGUCCAAUUUGCUGUUGCAGUCUGUGCAGCACGAAGCACUGACUAAUGAGGCCCUCCCUGCCCCCUGCGUUUAAUUGAGAGGGCUGGCCAACAUGAAGCCAUGUCGGCAAUCACUCAGGAAGUAGAAGGCACUGAACUCACCGUUUGGCCUUGACCAAAGCGAGCUCCAUCUUUUGUCAAUCCGAGAAUUCCUGUACAUAUUUUGGGGGUACAUGCUAUAUUUGUUAUAGCAUGUGUUAAGGGUAUUUAAUAAAGUACAGUGUGAACUGCUGUGUUUUGUAUUCUACAAAUACAUUGAACACAAUAAUGGGCAUAUUUUAAAAAACUGAUGCUGAUUUUUCCAUGUCUUUUUACAGUAUGUAAGAAUCAUAUUUAUCAGUUUUGGGAGAAAAGAGCAAAGAAUGUUAUUGCCAAAGUUUUCACUGAUUAUUUACAUGCAUUUGAAAUGCCACAUUUUAAAUAUCUAGCAAACUUCUUAAAAACUUCUUAUUUAAAUGAGGUAGCUCAUUGGGUCUAUAUUAUGAUAUACUCAUGUAGGUUUCAAAACUUCACUCAGACAGUAAGAUGAUUUUGUGUGUUUAUAACUUUGACCAUGGGGAUUUAUGUAGGAAUUUUUUAGCAUAUGACUCCACAAUUUAAGUGGCCUGUAGAGAACUCAAAGAAUGAACAUUUCAUUCCCACUUUUCCAGGCCUUUUAUCAUGCUAAAUCACAAGUCAGGGACCUAACAAUGAAAUCCUUUUUGUAUCUGGGUUUAAAAGGUCUUAAAAGUUGAACUUAAUGCUCUUUACAGUGGAAUAUGCACUGUAGGUGCCAAAUACAUUUAAGAGUAGGGUUGUGGUGUUCCAUAUUGUGAGUAGAAAGAGAUUUACUAUCUGAGAUUGUCACAUUCCAGCAGUGACAUCACCAAGUUGUGUAAGGAUUGUUUUAUGUAUCAAAACUGAAGAUCACAGACUUUGAGAGCACAGAUCUAUGCUUUCACUUGCAUAAGCUUACAAAGUGUCUAUUAUAAGGAUUUAUUGGCAUGUGUUUAUAGGAAAGAAUUUUAAUCACAAUUGUAACCCAUAAUGUGAUGUGUCAGUAAAUGUAUAUUUGGAUCAUUUGUUUAUUUGUUAAACAAAUGUGUAUUGGGUACCUUCUUUGCUUGGCACACCAUUAGAAACUAGGAAUCUGAAAGUCAGUAUGACACUCUCCGCCCUCAUGAAGGUUAUGACCUGAGGCAGAAGUAAACCAACCAUUAGAAGAGUACAACGACCAGUGUAAUAGAAAUGGGCCUGGGAAAUAGGAAGUUUCUUUCAGAUGAGGUGAGAGCUACGGAGACGACUGCAUUUUCUGGGAGAAACCUGGACUGCAGGGGGCAUUCUUGGCAGAAGGAGCAUCAGAAGUAAAGGUGGUGUUAGAGUGUACUGCUCUGGGCUUCGUUUCCCCCUGCCAGAUUUGUGAUUUAUAAAAUUACAAACGAUUGGGUUUCUGGUUAGUAAUCCAAUGGAAUUCUGUGUUUCUGAAUUACAUUUUAAACAGCCAGGGUUCAGUUAAUUGGUUUGCAUUACUGCCCACCAAAAUGACAGUGUUCUGUAUUUUUGUUGCAGAAAUGCACGUUACUGUGGAAUCACAGGAUACAAGCUGAGGCACGCCAGGGCGACAGUGUAGGACCUUUCAGCAAACCUGUACCCACUCUUGUACUUUUCCUCCUAGCACUUAAACUACAAAAUUUCUUAAAGCAUUGUGAGCUCUAAUGUGCUAUAAUUUUAGGGGUUUAGAAAGAGGAACUGGAUAAAGACAAAAAGGAGAGAGAGUUCAAAAUGAAUUUUAAAAUAAAAGAGAUAAAUAUUUAGGCUUCUUUUUCCAUGGGUCUUUUGAAUGAAACCCAUUUUGCUUUCUCUCUGCCAAAUUUAGGAGCACUAACUUCCAAGGAAUGACUAUGCUUUUUUAAAAUCAUUCCUUCAAAUUGAAAGAUGAGUGAAUUGCCUUUUACCUUGUUGCACUCCUGAGAGCAAGAUGGGUCACCAGCAGCUGUACUGGAGCCACCCACGAAAAUUUGGCCAGGGUUCUCACUCUUGUCUAAUUUGUUAAAACUGAUUUGACAUGGCAUGGUCUGAUCCGGAAAUAUGGCCUCAAUGUGUGCCACCAGUGUUUCCAUCAGUAUGCGAAGGAUAUUGGUUUCAUUAAGUUGGACGAAAUGAUCUUCCUUCAAAGGAUUAUCCAAGACAUCUACCAUGAAAAAUCAUGAUAGUUCUUUGUACAUAAAAUAAACAUCUUUAAAAACAAAAAAAGACGGGUAAAUUGUAUAUAUUUAUAUAUUUUGUUUUAAAGAAAAAUUUAUUUGUAACUCUUCA
Callithrix jacchus (white-tufted-ear marmoset) is the source of this 8386-nucleotide non-coding RNA. The record is from RefSeq and is a predicted model, not a curated record. NCBI's taxonomy places the organism in Eukaryota, Metazoa, Chordata, Mammalia, Primates, Cebidae.